RNAcentral lists this ribosomal RNA (465 nucleotides) under uncultured bacterium. RNAcentral describes it as "partial 16S ribosomal RNA". It matches the Rfam family "Bacterial small subunit ribosomal RNA", at positions 338 to 795 of the family's 1533-position model. The record is from RNAcentral.
CCUACGUGAGGCAGCAGUGGGGAAUAUUGCGCAAUGGGCGAAAGCCUGACGCAGCGACGCCGCGUGAGGGAUGAAGGUCUUCGGAUCGUAAACCUCUGUCAGCAGGGAAGAACGGUCACUGUGCUAAUCAGCAGUGAAUUGACGGUACCUGCAAAGGAAGCACCGGCUAACUCCGUGCCAGCAGCCGCGGUAAUACGGAGGGUGCGAGCGUUAAUCGGAAUUACUGGGCGUAAAGCGUUCGUAGGCGGUAUGUCAAGUCAAGGGUGAAAUCCCCGCGCUCAACGUGGGAACUGCCUUUGAAACUGGCAAACUGGAGUGUGUGAGAGGAUAGUGGAAUUCCAGGUGUAGGAGUGAAAUCCGUAGAUAUCUGGGGGAACAUCAGUGGCGAAGGCGACUAUCUGGCACAUAACUGACGCUGAGGAGCGAAAGCGUGGGUAGCAAACAGGAUUAGAUACCCCAGUAGUC